Molecule: ribosomal RNA, 465 nt
Filed under: uncultured bacterium
Lineage: Bacteria
Description: partial 16S ribosomal RNA
Rfam family: Bacterial small subunit ribosomal RNA
Source: RNAcentral
CCUACGGGGGGCAGCAGUGGGGAAUAUUGCGCAAUGGGCGAAAGCCUGACGCAGCGACGCCGCGUGAGGGAUGAAGGUCUUCGGAUCGUAAACCUCUGUCAACAGGGAAGAACGGUCACUGUGCUAAUCAGCAGUGAAUUGACGGUACCUGCAAAGGAAGCACCGGCUAACUCCGUGCCAGCAGCCGCGGUAAUACGUAGGUGGCAAGCGUUGUCCGGAUUUACUGGGUGUAAAGGGCGUGCAGCCGGAGAGACAAGUCAGAUGUGAAAUCCACGGGCUCAACCCGUGAACUGCAUUUGAAACUGUCUCCCUUGAGUGUCGGAGAGGUAAUCGGAAUUCCUUGUGUAGCGGUGAAAUGCGUAGAUAUAAGGAAGAACACCAGUGGCGAAGGCGGAUUACUGGACGAUAACUGACGGUGAGGCGCGAAAGCGUGGGGAGCAAACAGGAUUAGAUACCCCUGUAGUC